AGCUCCAAGAGCGUAUAUUAAAGUUGUUGCAGUUAAAAAGCUCGUAGUUGGAUUUCUGGUACAAUGCGCCUGGCCCGCGAGGGUUACCUCUGUGAGUGCCGGUGCGCGUUUGCCAUCCUUCUAGAAAACGUUUCUACCCUUCACUGGGCCGGACUCGCGAUCUAGAUCUUUUACUUUGAAAAAAUUAGAGUGUUUCAAGCAGGCUCUUGCCGUGAAUACAUUAGCAUGGAAUAAUAAUCUAGGACUUCGGUUCUAUUUUGUUGGUUUCUAGUACUGAAGUAAUGAUUGAUAGGGAUAGUUGGGGGUGCUAGUAUUGGCCGGCCAGAGGUGAAAUUCUUGGAUUCGGUCAAGACUAACUUAUGCGAAAGCAUUCACCAAGGAUGUCUUCUUUAAUCAAGAA
RNAcentral lists this ribosomal RNA (400 nucleotides) under phytoplankton environmental sample. Its description in RNAcentral is "partial small subunit ribosomal RNA". It matches the Rfam family "Eukaryotic small subunit ribosomal RNA", at positions 587 to 983 of the family's 1831-position model. The record is from RNAcentral.